This 58-nucleotide transfer RNA is filed under the name Desulfitobacterium dehalogenans. RNAcentral's name for it is "tRNA-Glu". It matches the Rfam family "tRNA", at positions 9 to 63 of the family's 71-position model. Rfam says of the family: Transfer RNA (tRNA) molecules are approximately 80 nucleotides in length. Their secondary structure includes four short double-helical elements and three loops (D, anti-codon, and T loops). Further hydrogen bonds mediate the characteristic L-shaped molecular structure. tRNAs have two regions of fundamental functional importance: the anti-codon, which is responsible for specific mRNA codon recognition, and the 3' end, to which the tRNAs corresponding amino acid is attached (by aminoacyl-tRNA synthetases). tRNAs cope with the degeneracy of the genetic code in two manners: having more than one tRNA (with a specific anti-codon) for a particular amino acid; and 'wobble' base-pairing, i.e. permitting non-standard base-pairing at the 3rd anti-codon position. The record is from RNAcentral. Lineage: Bacteria; Bacillati; Bacillota; Clostridia; Eubacteriales; Desulfitobacteriaceae.
GGUCAAGCGGCCUAAGACACCGCCCUUUCACGGCGGUAACACGGGUUCGAAUCCCGUA